AUUUCUCUAAGAACCCAAACCCUAGAGACCCCUCUCUUUACUCUUUCAUCCUCUCACCCUCUCUUAAGUUGCCGCCCCCCUCCACUGCCACCACCGUGCGCCACCGCCGGUGUUGGUCCAAACACCCCCAAAAUUACCACCAAUCUUCUCCUAUCCUCCCAAUCUCUCCAUAUCUUCAACUCAAAUCCCCUAAAACUUCACUAAUCUCCGCUAAUAUGAAGAAAUCCAAAACCCUAUCCCCUUAUAUUUUCCCAAGUUCAUGAGUUUUCAGGCCACUUUACCCCAUAAUACAUACAUGAACUUGUAGAUCUUUCCACGAUCUAGCACUUUUCAUUAGUUUAAGUCCCGAAUCCGUCAACCAAAAUUCAGUGACCACCUUACUGCCGUGCGGCUCCGCUGCCACUGUCGCUGCUUCUCCGUCUUUUAUUUUUUGACCCAAAGGAAUUUGUUUCCUUUUGGCAAGAUGCCGGAAUCUAUUGGUUUAGCGUAUGUCAAAGAGAAAUAUGUGUCUCGGGAUCGGACAACCACCACUUGGCAUCCUCGGCAUCGUCUCAUUGCUCGAUUCGACGUCGGAUGUCCCGGAGUUUGGUAUAAGCUCGCACCCUAAUCUUUUCCCCCCCCCCUUUUUUUUUUCAUAAUUUAUGUUUUUUCCCCAUCCGAGUGUAAGUUUUAGUUUAAUUUUAUAUUUUUAAUUAAUUGUUAAGUCGUGAUUGUUAGUUCAAGUUUACUUUCAUUAGCCUUCUUCAAUAUUUAGUCGUUGCUUAAUAUUUUCGAAUCAGGUACUUAGUCAUUUGUUUAGGUUGCUAUUAAUCAUUGUUCGAUAGUUUAUCAAUAUUUAUUUAAGUUAUAUUUUAGGCAACAUUUCCUAAUUUCAGUCGUCUACUGUUAAUUAUCAUAAAUCGAUUGGCUUUAGUUUAGAUGUGUGAAUACCUAAUUUGAUUACAUUUUAAGUCUUGUUUCUGUUUUGUCACUUAGUUGUUUGAGUUUGAUUUGGUUUGAAUCACAUAAGUUGGUACUAAUAUUGUAAGAGCUGAAGUUCUUUUAGGUUAUUUUAUCAUAAAAUAGGGUAUUAGUCUACUUUUUACUAGUUGGGUGGCUGAAAUAAUAUUUUUUUCUCCUUUCUUCUGACAUAGCAGAUUUUCAGGCUAUCGUUUCACCUUUUUGACGACCUUUGAACAGUAUUUAGCACACAAAGUCAGUCUUUUUGGACAGACUUUUGGUGAACCAAAAUCUGUCCAAAAGUGAUUUUCUUAGCCUAUUUAAGGGCUGCUUUUUUCCUCACUUUAGCGACAGGAUCUUGUAUUGAGAGAUCAUCUUUUACAUUCGGAAAAAAAUAAAGACACAACUUAAGAAAAAUCAUCAGCUGAACAUCCAAAAGUAAGCUGAAAAACUGAAAGUUUGUGAGUUCUUUCUUCUUUUCCUAAGUCAUUAAGCUUUUGGUUUGAGCUUCUGGUUUGUAUCGGGUUUAAAAGAUUGUUGCUGGUCUGU
This 1488-nucleotide long non-coding RNA is filed under the name Nicotiana tabacum (common tobacco). RNAcentral describes it as "long non-coding RNA (NTAB_LNC005326)". Lineage: Eukaryota; Viridiplantae; Streptophyta; Magnoliopsida; Solanales; Solanaceae. The record is from RNAcentral.